Molecule: ribosomal RNA, 483 nt
Filed under: uncultured bacterium
Lineage: Bacteria
Description: partial 16S ribosomal RNA
Rfam family: Bacterial small subunit ribosomal RNA
Source: RNAcentral
AUUGAACGCUGGCGGCAGGCCUAACACAUGCAAGUCGAGCGGAUGAAGGGAGCUUGCUCCUGGAUUCAGCGGCGGACGGGUGAGUAAUGCCUAGGAAUCUGCCUGGUAGUGGGGGAUAACGUCCGGAAACGGGCGCUAAUACCGCAUACGUCCUGAGGGAGAAAGUGGGGGAUCUUCGGACCUCACGCUAUCAGAUGAGCCUAGGUCGGAUUAGCUAGUUGGUAGGGUAAAGGCCUACCAAGGCGACGAUCCGUAACUGGUCUGAGAGGAUGAUCAGUCACACUGGAACUGAGACACGGUCCAGACUCCUACGGGAGGCAGCAGUGGGGAAUAUUGGACAAUGGGCGAAAGCCUGAUCCAGCCAUGCCGCGUGUGUGAAGAAGGUCUUCGGAUUGUAAAGCACUUUAAGUUGGGAGGAAGGGCAGUAAGUUAAUACCUUGCUGUUUUGACGUUACCAACAGAAUAAGCACCGGCUAACUUCGU